This 600-nucleotide ribosomal RNA is filed under the name Escherichia coli. RNAcentral's name for it is "bacterial SSU rRNA". It matches the Rfam family "Bacterial small subunit ribosomal RNA", at positions 37 to 629 of the family's 1533-position model. The record is from RNAcentral. Lineage: Bacteria; Pseudomonadati; Pseudomonadota; Gammaproteobacteria; Enterobacterales; Enterobacteriaceae.
GGGCGGAGGACUACCAUGCAAGUCGAACGGUAACAGAAAGCAGCUUGCUGCUUUGCUGACGAGUGGCGGACGGGUGAGUAAUGUCUGGGAAACUGCCUGAUGGAGGGGGAUAACUACUGGAAACGGUAGCUAAUACCGCAUAACGUCGCAAGACCAAAGAGGGGGACCUUCGGGCCUCUUGCCAUCGGAUGUGCCCAGAUGGGAUUAGCUAGUAGGUGGGGUAAAGGCUCACCUAGGCGACGAUCCCUAGCUGGUCUGAGAGGAUGACCAGCCACACUGGAACUGAGACACGGUCCAGACUCCUACGGGAGGCAGCAGUGGGGAAUAUUGCACAAUGGGCGCAAGCCUGAUGCAGCCAUGCCGCGUGUAUGAAGAAGGCCUUCGGGUUGUAAAGUACUUUCAGCGGGGAGGAAGGGAGUAAAGUUAAUACCUUUGCUCAUUGACGUUACCCGCAGAAGAAGCACCGGCUAACUCCGUGCCAGCAGCCGCGGUAAUACGGAGGGUGCAAGCGUUAAUCGGAAUUACUGGGCGUAAAGCGCACGCAGGCGGUUUGUUAAGUCAGAUGUGAAAUCCCCGGGCUCAACCUGGGAACUGCAUCUG